GGGCGUCCGGCGUGUGCGCCUUCCGCUGCUUAGCUGCGGGUGUUCGGAACUUGAGGCAGCGCUGGCGGCUUGUUUUGAAGUGUUUGUGUUCGGGUAGGCCUUAAGAAGGGACAGCAGCGGUUUUGUUUUCUGGAACUUAAUCUCUGCGUCUCCACUCUAUCAAGUGAUUCCCUUCUCUCCCACGUCUUUCAGAAACAUUUGAAAGCUAUAAUUUGUUUCAUAAAAUAAGGCUUUCAUUAAAUGAAAUUUCAGCAUCGUGAACUAGGGGAAUGUGGUAUGAUGCUGCUUCUGUUGUGAAUUUAAUCUUCCUGAGAAGUCCAGCAGCCCUAGGGCUGAAGGUGCUCAAGGCAGGUGGCCAUCCUUCCUGUCUGAAUGGUGACGGGCUUUCUCCAGGCUGGCGAGAAUGUUGUUCCAUAGGACCAUCCAGUCAAGGAGGACACGCGAAGGGACCUUCCACCAUUCUCUUCUAAGACAAAGCUUAGCAAAUUGCUACUGAUUCUAAUACUGGGCAAGUACGCCUACAAAAACUGGAACCCUACAGGAAACGCCACCGAUGCCAAUGUGUAACGUUAUCUAGAACACCUUUUUUUGUUUGUUUUGGUUUUGCUGGUUGAGUUUUGGGGGAUUUUGUUCUUUUUUUUGUUUGUUUUAAAUCUGUCAGGCGUGAUCCACUUGGGAAUGCUAAGGACUGCAGAUCAGUGAACUGGCUGGUUAUGAACAACAAUGUAUAGAACCAGACUGCUAGACUAAAAAGGAAGUGAAGAUGGGGUAAGCAAAAUCAGCUUUCGCGUUGGAUAAUUCAUGCAACUUGGCUCUUCAGGAACCAGCCUAAACCAGUCUGACUUGCAUCCCAAACAGGGGCUUACCUAUAAAUAUAUUCAGAACUUUAUAGGUACUGCCAGUAAAUACAGAUGGUAUUUUAUUUUUCAUCAUUGGGUACACCAAGUAAUAAGCUUGUGUCUUCCUAUUUACCACUAUGCUCUGUGUUACUGAAUUUUUUCUUUUGUUUUAAAUGUAACUCCACCUAAAUCGUGUUGCAGCAAAAAUGUCAAGGAAACCAAAGCAAUAGGCAAGAUCAUCUUCUUGCCAAAUACAAAUAAUGGCCUUAAGAAAAGAAAUCCUGGAAGGUGACUUCAGUAUCUUCUUAAACAUUUUCAAGUCCCAGUGCAGUGAAUGAGACUUGAGAAUAUCUCAACUUGAAACCAGUGGAAGGUAGAAACAGAAGACGAAAAUGUUGCUCUAAGAUUAUUUAAUAACUGUUGUGCAUGUAAUCUCAAAUCUCACAUCUGAAAAUAACCCUUUUCUUAAGAAUUCAGACUGCGCUCACUUGUUUAAUACAGGAGGGAAUGGGAGCUAAUCUUUCCCUCUUUCCUUUGUUUAUCUUUUUCACCAACAGUUUGAGCAAAGAAAAAGCCAAUGACCAAUGCAUUCUCAUAUCAACAGGUCUGAAGCCAAACUGAUGCAAGAUUGGGGAUUUGAAAAUACCACAUACAACCAGAGCUUUUUUGCUCCUGCAGGGAUCCUAACAAGGUAGUGUCUGUAGAAACGUAAUGAUUUGCAAGUAAUAAUCUGACUGUCAUUUCAAACCUAAAAUUUUGCUUCCCUAACAUAUCUGCAUAAUUUUUUACCAGUUCUGAAAUCUAUUGUUAUUAUUAAGACAAUGGCCUGUUAGAAAGAAAAUAUUCUUCUGUAACUUCUAUAAUUAUACUAAUAGACUCUAUAAACUAACUUUCAUACACUAAAGUUUUAUUUAUUUUUUUAUUAAUUUCACCUUAUUCAUUCAUUCACUUUAGUUUUAUGCUAAAAAAUGGAGGAAACAGCAACAGUCAGUUGGUCUAAAGUUGUAAGGUACACUGUAAUUCCGGCCACAGCAAAUUUAAAUGAACAUAAAUUAAUUACUUAAAGAAAUGAUUAUUGACAUAAAAUCAGACCUUGUUUUUCCUGUUUCAUGAAUAAAAAUGAAAGUUCUGUAAGCAAGUGGCCUUUCUUCAUAAAGGGCUUAUAAAACACUUGUUCAUGUUAGCACCUUUUGAUGGAAAGACCUGUGAAUUUCAAAAAUAGCUUGCUCUUAAGAAUGAUGUGUUCUCUUAAAAAUUAAGCUUUUGAAAGUACUAGUGUUUUUUAAUAAUGACAGUGAUAACUACCUCAGAUGCAGAUUUAAUUUCUUUUAAAAAAUGCUCAGAUCAUAAUGUCUUCUAAACAAGUGUCAUGUACAGAAUAUAUGAAAGUUCUUGUAUAAGGUGGGUUAUCAUUCCUUUAUGUUGAAAAAAAUCAAGAAAAAAUGUUAAUGGGUAGGUUCUCUUAAAUCCUUUUUACACGAUGAGGAAAUACCUGAAAUUUUCCCUAGUAAAAUCAGUGAAACAGCAAGAUCAUGGUAAUGGACACACCGAUAAAGUCUGAAUGUACUUACACGUUGGCUAGUUGAGAUUUCUUGUAAUAAUUAAAAGAAUAAUUAUAUGUGGAUAGAAAGUUGCAGCCAGGAAUAUUCAACAAUUCCAACAGACUCUCUUUCAUUACAUUUUAUGAGAUUUCUCUGGUAGUGCUGCCUAUACCCUGUGACAUGGAGCAUUUGAAUGAAAAAGCAAUUUGUAAUUAUACUAAAAUUUAAAGCUUUUUCACUCGGUAUUUCCUCCUGAUGCCCUGAUAAUGUUGAAAAUGUGAUUCCUCCAUUUUGUCACAAAUUAGGCAGGUUAUCUCUGAAUUGAGCUUUAAGGAAGUUAGGCCCUGAUUGUUGUGAUUCAGUAGAAGUCUUCUAUAUGAAUCAACAUUGAUUUAGUGGUCCGGUAUAACUUUGGGGAAUAGUUGUACAAGUAAAAAUCCAUGAAAUGUUAUCAGUCCAUUGUUUUACUCUGGCAGUUCCUAGCACAAGAGACACUGUAAAUCUUUUCAGUAGGUAGGACUGAAGAAGUCUUUUAUUGUAGAACGGACUUUAAGAGAGCUAAGGAACAUCACUGAUGCAAAAAUGACAAAGCAAGGUAAAGACAGUGGGGGAUGCAUUACUGCCACUCCAUUAUUUACUGCACUUCCAUUUCUCUAUUCUACAUCUCUCCUUCUUUCUCAUCAAUUAUACGCAUCCUGGCUAGGGAGAAGAUAAUGAAGAAGGGUGUCCCUUAUUUUUUUUCUUUCCUCUCCUUACUUCUUAGCCACCAGUGAAACAUUUUUCAUUUUUCCUGUCUUGUCACUUCUCUUUGC
Molecule: long non-coding RNA, 3192 nt
Organism: Aquila chrysaetos chrysaetos
Lineage: Eukaryota; Metazoa; Chordata; Aves; Accipitriformes; Accipitridae
Exons: 3
Source: RefSeq, a predicted model, not a curated record